This 657-nucleotide ribosomal RNA is filed under the name soil fungal sp. DM2-284. RNAcentral describes it as "eukaryotic LSU rRNA". It matches the Rfam family "Eukaryotic large subunit ribosomal RNA", at positions 138 to 813 of the family's 3401-position model. The record is from RNAcentral. Lineage: Eukaryota; Fungi.
CCGCAUUGUAAUUUGCAGAGGAUGCUUCGGGAGCGGCCCCCAUCUAAGUGCCCUGGAACGGGCCGUCAUAGAGGGUGAGAAUCCCGUCUGGGAUGGGGUGCCCGCGCCCGUGUGAAGCUCCUUCGACGAGUCGAGUUGUUUGGGAAUGCAGCUCUAAAUGGGUGGUAAAUUUCAUCUAAAGCUAAAUACUGGCCGGAGACCGAUAGCGCACAAGUAGAGUGAUCGAAAGAUGAAAAGCACUUUGAAAAGAGAGUUAAACAGCACGUGAAAUUGUUGAAAGGGAAGCGCUUGCGACCAGACUCGCCCGCAGGGUUCAGCCGGCAUUCGUGCCGGUGUACUUCCCCGCGGGCGGGCCAGCGUCGGUUUGGGCGGCCGGUCAAAGGCCCUCGGAAUGUAACGCCCCCCGGGGCGUCUUAUAGCCNAGGGUGCCAUGCGGCCAGCCCGGACCGAGGAACGCGCUUCGGCUCGGACGCUGGCAUAAUGGUCGUAAGCGACCCGUCUUGAAACACGGACCAAGGAGUCUAACAUCUACGCGAGUGUUCGGGUGUCAAACCCGUGCGCGCAGUGAAAGCGAACGGAGGUGGGAACCCCCCGGGGUGCACCAUCGACCGAUCCUGAUGUCUUCGGAUGGAUUUGAGUAAGAGCGUAGCUGUUGGG